Molecule: unclassified non-coding RNA, 288 nt
Filed under: plant metagenome
Description: partial contains small subunit ribosomal RNA and internal transcribed spacer 1
Rfam family: Eukaryotic small subunit ribosomal RNA (bases 1-53)
Source: RNAcentral
GGAGUAAAAGUCGUAACAAGGUUUCCGUAGGUGAACCUGCGGAAGGAUCAUUAUCGUACAAAAUGUGAGGGGCAUGCGAGGGCUGUCGCUGACCCAAAAGUCGUGCACGCCCGAGUGUGUCCUCUUGCAUAAUAAUCCAUCUCACCCUUUGUGCAUCACCGCGUGGGCACCCUUCGGGAUCAUCUCGGAGGGGGGCUCGCGUUUUCACACAAACCCCCCUUUUAAAAGUGUAGAAUGACCACGUUUAUGCAAUCAAUACAACUUUCAACAACGGACCUCUUGGCUCUC